RNAcentral lists this unclassified non-coding RNA (244 nucleotides) under plant metagenome. RNAcentral describes it as "partial contains small subunit ribosomal RNA, internal transcribed spacer 1, and 5.8S ribosomal RNA". The stretch from base 196 to 244 matches the Rfam family "5.8S ribosomal RNA", at positions 1 to 49 of the family's 154-position model. The record is from RNAcentral.
UCUCCGUUGGUGAACCAGCGGAGGGAUCAUUACAGGACUCGCAAGACUCCUUCACCCAGUGAACCUCACUACAAGCACGUUGCUUCGGCGGGUGUCCCGGCGGGGGUUUUCCCUCGCCGGGGCGCACUGCCCGCCGGCAGCCUACUAUACUCUGUCUCUUUGCGUUGGCAUCUCGAGAAAAAACAAACAAGUUAAAACUUUCAACAACGGAUCUCUUGGUUCUGGAAUCGAUGAAGAACGCAGC